RNAcentral lists this small RNA (66 nucleotides) under Cytobacillus oceanisediminis. Its description in RNAcentral is "Bacillus oceanisediminis Bacillaceae-1 RNA". It matches the Rfam family "Bacillaceae-1 RNA". Lineage: Bacteria; Bacillati; Bacillota; Bacilli; Caryophanales; Bacillaceae. The record is from RNAcentral.
GUUGCAGAAACACAGACUAAAGAUGCCACGUCCUGCGGCACGUCUGCAUGACCUGCAUCCUGCAGG